UUAAGUUCAGCGGGUAGUCCUACCUGAUUUGAGGCCAAAUUUCAAAGUUAGCUUGACCGCCACUCGAACGGCAGGUCGUGGAAGGGCACAGAAGGGGAACAUCUCAUUAGAGCGAGGAUGGUACGACGCCCAAUCGAGUCCGACCCACAGGCCCAACCGAGGCAUUUGAGGGGAGCCGCGUUUCGGCAGCAAGCCCCCAG
RNAcentral lists this unclassified non-coding RNA (200 nucleotides) under Trechispora sp. RNAcentral describes it as "partial internal transcribed spacer 2". The record is from RNAcentral. Lineage: Eukaryota; Fungi; Basidiomycota; Agaricomycetes; Trechisporales; Hydnodontaceae.